This 582-nucleotide ribosomal RNA is filed under the name Blastococcus sp. FXJ6.383. RNAcentral's name for it is "bacterial SSU rRNA". It matches the Rfam family "Bacterial small subunit ribosomal RNA", at positions 88 to 683 of the family's 1533-position model. The record is from RNAcentral. Lineage: Bacteria; Bacillati; Actinomycetota; Actinomycetes; Geodermatophilales; Geodermatophilaceae.
GGGAUCAGUGGCGAACGGGUGAGUAACACGUGGGCAACCUGCCCUCAGCUCUGGGAUAACUCCAAGAAAUUGGGGCUAAUACCGGAUAUGACCGCUGACCGCAUGGUCUGGUGGUGGAAAGAUUUAUCGGCUGGGGAUGGGCCCGCGGCCUAUCAGCUUGUUGGUGGGGUAGUGGCCUACCAAGGCGACGACGGGUAGCCGGCCUGAGAGGGUGACCGGCCACACUGGGACUGAGACACGGCCCAGACUCCUACGGGAGGCAGCAGUGGGGAAUAUUGCGCAAUGGGCGAAAGCCUGACGCAGCGACGCCGCGUGGGGGAUGACGGCCUUCGGGUUGUAAACCUCUUUCAGCAGGGACGAAGCGAAAGUGACGGUACCUGCAGAAGAAGCACCGGCCAACUACGUGCCAGCAGCCGCGGUAAUACGUAGGGUGCAAGCGUUGUCCGGAAUUAUUGGGCGUAAAGAGCUCGUAGGCGGUUUGUUGCGUCGGCUGUGAAAACCUGAGGCUCAACCUCAGGCCUGCAGUCGAUACGAGCAGACUAGAGUGUUGCAGGGGAGACUGGAAUUCCUGGUGUAGCGGUG